CACACACAGACACAGACACACACACAAACACUUGGAGAUGGAUAGGUAGAUGAAUGAUCGGAUAGUUGAGUAGAAGGAUAGUGGGUGGACGCCUGUACACGUGCGCACCAUGUCCGUGCUAUCUACCAACUGUGGGUGUAUCAGUGUGUAGACAGACUGUUGAGGGAAACUGCAACAUUCUCUCUUAGAAUGAGACCUGAGGAGAUAGAUCUGCUGGGGUAAAGGCUGGAGAGAUGCUAGGACAAGGUAUCCCUCCAGCCACAGAAGGGAGCCCUGGGGAGGGAUGUCACCUUGGGCCUUGAGUGGGGACAUCCGGAGACAUGCCUAUCCCUAGUGACCCACACAGGGGAUGGCAGCUCUGACUUAGACCUCAGUAUCAUUUCUUAACAUCUUCUAGUUGAGCCAUCAGACCCUUCCCCCAGCACAGUGUUGUGCCACUUUGCUGAUGGAGUUCACACGUGGGAAAGGCAGGUCACUGGGUCAUGAGGUCAUGUAUCCAAAGAAUCAGGCCACUGUCACCUUCAGAGAGCCCAGCCUUUCCAUUAAAAUCCAGUAAUUGCCAAAAAUACCAGGAGAGCUCAGCCUGCGAGAGGCAGGGCUCCCCAGAGGGUGAGGCUGGGGCUCCAAUCCUGAGACAGGGAGGAGGAACCUGAAUGGGGUGGGGAGGGGGGAGGGUAGGGAUGAGUCUGGGUCCUGGAUCUGAGGGAUGCAGCUGGAGCUCUAGGACCCAGACAGAUGAGAAUGCACAUUUAACACGCCAGUCCUGGAAACGGAUGAGAAAAGGGCAAGUUCCGGGAGGGGGAAUUCCACUGUCUCCAUGAGUACUGUACAGUCCCUUUCGGGAGGAAAUGACGACCUCGAAUCCACCUGGUGGGAAAAUGAGUUUAGAAGACUCUGAAGUGGCUGUGGUGGUACACACUUGUAAUCAUGGCACUCAGGAGGUGGGAACAAGAGGAUCAGCAGUUCAUGGUCAUCCUUCACCGCACAUAGGAUCGAAGCCAGCCUGGGCCAUGUGAGAUCCCCCUUGGAUCAUCAACCUAGGUCAUGCUAUGUCUUUGAUGGAAAUUUGGGGUUCAAGUCCUGGAGCCAUGUCCAGAGUGUCCCUGUCUUUGUGAUAAGGGUGGUGUCUCUAUCAAAACAGCAGGACAGAUUCCGUCCUGUCCUCAAAACUCUAUUUUAAGCUGCUAACCUUCGGAGAGGCUGCUGUCUCCUGUCCUUGGAGGAAGCAGAAAAUUAAUGUCCUUGGAGUGAUAAGUUCCUCACCUUUGAGUGCUGGGAAAGAGACCACGGAGCAUUUCCAGCAGUCGAAAAUAGACAUAACAGCUAUUAUGUCCAGCUUCUAACAACAGGAAAAGGCUGGUCCCGACAACAAGAUGAGUUAUUUCUUCCCGGGUUAAAGAUGCCCCUUUCCAGAUGUAUGGUCUCUCCUGUCUGCACAAACGUUAUCAGUUUCAAGGUUAACAGUCCUUUACCCCUUUACCCAAUCAUGUAACACCAAGGCUUGAAAGCCCCAGCUUGUGCAUUUUCCCUAUAUAAGCUCUAAACCCCUAGACCUGAGCGUCACAUUCCAAACCUGUUACGCAGUGAGGGUUGCAGCCCUAGCUUGAAAUUGAAUAAAAGGCUCUCGUGUGCUUGCA
Molecule: long non-coding RNA, 1637 nt
Organism: Mus musculus (house mouse)
Lineage: Eukaryota; Metazoa; Chordata; Mammalia; Rodentia; Muridae
Product: predicted gene, 39009
Exons: 2
Source: RefSeq, a predicted model, not a curated record